GGGGAGAGUCUUAGGCUCCCCAGCACGGGAGUGUUAAUAGCGGUGUCUUUGGCCAGGCAUCGUGGUUAGUGAAUC
Molecule: non-coding RNA, 75 nt
Submitted as: unclassified sequences
Source: Rfam